UUAUAGGUGGGGCUACACACGUCAUACAAUGGCUGGUACAGAGGGUUGCCAACCCGCGAGGGGGAGCUAAUCCCAUAAAACCAGUCGUAGUCCGGAUCGCAGUCUGCAACUCGACUGCGUGAAGUCGGAAUCGCUAGUAAUCGCGGAUCAGAAUGUCGCGGUGAAUACGUUCCCGGGUCUUGUACACACCGCCCGUCACACCAUGGGAGCGGGUUCUGCCAGAAGUAGUUAGCCUAACCGCAAGGAGGGCGAUUACCACGGCAGGGUUCGUGACUGGGGUGAAGUCGUAACAAGGUAACCA
This 301-nucleotide ribosomal RNA is filed under the name uncultured bacterium. Its description in RNAcentral is "bacterial SSU rRNA". It matches the Rfam family "Bacterial small subunit ribosomal RNA", at positions 1202 to 1502 of the family's 1533-position model. The record is from RNAcentral.